Molecule: long non-coding RNA, 232 nt
Filed under: Elaeis guineensis (African oil palm)
Lineage: Eukaryota; Viridiplantae; Streptophyta; Magnoliopsida; Arecales; Arecaceae
Description: long non-coding RNA (EGUI_LNC008505)
Source: RNAcentral
GCCUGGAGAGGGACCAUAUGUUCAGACUCCAGUACCAUUCUCACAAAUUGGUCAUCAGAAAGUAAGAGGGGAGGCUGGUCUACCUUAGCCAUUGGAUGGCACUUUUUCUAGAUCUACUAUCUCUUGAGUGAAAAUAAAAGUGCCUUUGAAUUGAACUUGUAAAUGUCAACUUAAUGCCCCUUCUUUCGGUACACAUAAAGCCUCUUUAAUGCAAAUUAUCCUCUUACAGUGG